UGGGGAAUAUUGGACAAUGGGCGGAAGCCUGAUCCAGCCAUGCCGCGUGUGUGAAGAAGGCCUUUUGGUUGUAAAGCACUUUAAGCGAGGAGGAGGCUACUAGUACUAAUACUACUGGAUAGUGGACGUUACUCGCAGAAUAAGCACCGGCUAACUCUGUGCCAGCAGCCGCGGUAAUACAGAGGGUGCGAGCGUUAAUCGGAUUUACUGGGCGUAAAGCGCGCGUAGGCGGCUGAUUAAGUCGGAUGUGAAAUCCCUGAGCUUAACUUAGGAAUUGCAUUCGAUACUGGUCAGCUAGAGUAUGGGAGAGGAUGGUAGAAUUCCAGGUGUAGCGGUGAAAUGCGUAGAGAUCUGGAGGAAUACCGAUGGCGAAGGCAGCCAUCUGGCCUAAUACUGACGCUGAGGUACGAAAGCAUGGGGAGCAAACAGG
This 430-nucleotide ribosomal RNA is filed under the name Pseudomonadota bacterium. RNAcentral describes it as "Proteobacteria bacterium partial 16S ribosomal RNA". It matches the Rfam family "Bacterial small subunit ribosomal RNA", at positions 355 to 776 of the family's 1533-position model. Lineage: Bacteria; Pseudomonadati; Pseudomonadota. The record is from RNAcentral.